CGAACGCUGGCGGCGUGCCUAAUACAUGCAAGUAGAACGCUGAAGGAGGAGCUUGCUUCUCUGGAUGAGUUGCGAACGGGUGAGUAACGCGUAGGUAACCUGCCUGGUAGCGGGGGAUAACUAUUGGAAACGAUAGCUAAUACCGCAUAAGAGUAGAUGUUGCAUGACAUUUGCUUAAAAGGUGCAAUUGCAUCACUACCAGAUGGACCUGCGUUGUAUUAGCUAGUUGGUGAGGUAACGGCUCACCAAGGCGACGAUACAUAGCCGACCUGAGAGGGUGAUCGGCCACACUGGGACUGAGACACGGCCCAGACUCCUACGGGAGGCAGCAGUAGGGAAUCUUCGGCAAUGGACGGAAGUCUGACCGAGCAACGCCGCGUGAGUGAAGAAGGUUUUCGGAUCGUAAAGCUCUGUUGUAAGAGAAGAACGAGUGUGAGAGUGGAAAGUUCACACUGUGACGGUAGCUUACCAGAAAGGGACGGCUAACUACGUG
This 493-nucleotide ribosomal RNA is filed under the name uncultured bacterium. RNAcentral's name for it is "partial 16S ribosomal RNA". It matches the Rfam family "Bacterial small subunit ribosomal RNA", at positions 30 to 507 of the family's 1533-position model. The record is from RNAcentral.